This 73-nucleotide transfer RNA is filed under the name Amycolatopsis sp. TNS106. RNAcentral's name for it is "tRNA-Lys". It matches the Rfam family "tRNA". From Rfam's summary of the family: Transfer RNA (tRNA) molecules are approximately 80 nucleotides in length. Their secondary structure includes four short double-helical elements and three loops (D, anti-codon, and T loops). The record is from RNAcentral. Lineage: Bacteria; Bacillati; Actinomycetota; Actinomycetes; Pseudonocardiales; Pseudonocardiaceae. RNAcentral also lists the same sequence under 2 other names.
GGGUCGUUAGCUCAACUGGAAGAGCCGCCGACUCUUACUCGGCAGGUUCGGGGUUCGAGUCCCCGGCGACCUA